RNAcentral lists this non-coding RNA (76 nucleotides) under Streptomyces sp. The record is from RNAcentral. RNAcentral also lists the same sequence under 1 other name. Lineage: Bacteria; Bacillati; Actinomycetota; Actinomycetes; Kitasatosporales; Streptomycetaceae.
GAGGAAGCCCGGUGCGAAUCCGGCGCGGUCCCGCCACUGUGAGCACGCGCACCCCGCGCGUGUGAGUCAGGAACUC